Molecule: non-coding RNA, 134 nt
Filed under: Bacteroidota bacterium
Lineage: Bacteria; Pseudomonadati; Bacteroidota
Description: Bacteroidetes bacterium FMN sequence
Rfam family: FMN riboswitch aptamer (RFN element)
About the family: The RFN element is a highly conserved domain that is found frequently in the 5'-untranslated regions of prokaryotic mRNAs that encode for flavin mononucleotide (FMN) biosynthesis and transport proteins. This element is a metabolite-dependent riboswitch that directly binds FMN in the absence of proteins.
Source: RNAcentral
CAAUUGAUUCAGGGCAGGGUGAAAUUCCCGACCGGCGGUGACAGUCCGCGACUCCCGUUCCGAAAAUUUUAGGAUGGGACUGAUCUGGUGAAACUCCAGGGCCGACAGUAAAGUCUGGAUGGUAGAAGCGAUUG